This 253-nucleotide ribosomal RNA is filed under the name uncultured bacterium. Its description in RNAcentral is "partial 16S ribosomal RNA". It matches the Rfam family "Bacterial small subunit ribosomal RNA", at positions 524 to 776 of the family's 1533-position model. The record is from RNAcentral.
UACGGAGGGUGCAAACGUUGCUCGGAAUUAUUGGGCGUAAAGCGCACGUAGGCGGUUUGUUAAGUCGGGUGUGAAAGCCCUGGGCUCAACCCAGGAAGUGCAUUCGAAACUGGCAAGCUUGAAUAUGGAAGAGGGUCGCGGAAUUCCCGGUGUAGAGGUGAAAUUCGUAGAUAUCGGGAGGAACACCAGUGGCGAAGGCGGCGACCUGGGCCAAUAUUGACGCUGAGGUGCGAAAGCGUGGGGAGCAAACAGG